GAUGAAGAACGUAGCGAAAUGCGAUAAGUAAUGUGAAUUGCAGAAUUCAGUGAAUCAUCGAAUCUUUGAACGCACAUUGCGCCCCCUGGUAUUCCGGGGGGCAUGCCUGUUCGAGCGUCAUUUCACCACUCAAGCCUCGCUUGGUAUUGGGCAACGCGGUCCGCCGCGUGCCUCAAAUCGACCGGCUGGGUCUUCUGUCCCCUAAGCGUUGUGGAAACUAUUCGCUAAAGGGUGUUCGGGAGGCUACGCCGUAAAACAACCCCAUUUCUAAGGUUGACCUCGGAUCAGGUAGGGAUACCCGCUGAACUUAAGCAUAUCAAUAAGCUGAGGA
Molecule: unclassified non-coding RNA, 331 nt
Filed under: soil metagenome
Description: partial contains 5.8S ribosomal RNA, internal transcribed spacer 2, and large subunit ribosomal RNA
Rfam family: 5.8S ribosomal RNA (bases 1-120)
Source: RNAcentral